CCUACGGGGGGCUGCAGUAGGGAAUCUUCGGCAAUGGAAGAAAGUCUGACCGAGCAACGCCGCGUGAGUGAAGAAGGUUUUCGGAUCGUAAAACUCUGUUGGUAGAGAAGAACGUUGGUGAGAGUGGAUAGCUCAUCAAGUGACGGUAACUACCCAGAAAGGGACGGCUAACUACGUGCCAGCCGCCGCGGUAAUACGUAGGUCCCGAGCGGUGUCCGGAUUUAUGGGGAGUAAAGCGAGCGCAGGUGGCUUAUUAGGGCUGGUGUAAAAGGCAGUGGCUUAACCAGUGUAUGCAUUGGAAACUGGUAGACUUGAGUGCAGGAGAGGAGAGUGGAAUUCCAUGUGUAGCGGUGAAAUGCGUAGAUAUAUGGAGGAACACCGGUGGCGAAAGCGGCUCUCUGGCCUGUAACUGACACUGAGGCUCGAAAGCGUGGGGAGCAAACAGGAUUAGAUACCCUUGUAGUC
Molecule: ribosomal RNA, 465 nt
Filed under: uncultured Lactococcus sp.
Lineage: Bacteria; Bacillati; Bacillota; Bacilli; Lactobacillales; Streptococcaceae
Description: bacterial SSU rRNA
Rfam family: Bacterial small subunit ribosomal RNA
Source: RNAcentral